AGCAGCCGCGGUAAUUCCAGCUCCAAUAGCGUAUAUUAAAGUUGUUGCAGUUAAAAAGCUCGUAGUUGAAUUUCAGGCCUGGCUGGACGGUCCGCCCUUCGGGUGAGUACUGUCUGUGGUCGGGUCCUACCUUCUGGCGAAGCGUCAUGGCCUUAACCGGCCGUGGCGGGGAACCAGGACUUUUACUGUGAAAAAAUUAGAGUGUUCAAAGCAGGCAAUCGCUUGGAUACAUUAGCAUGGAAUAAUGGAAUAGGACAAUGGUUCUAUUUGUUGGUUUCUAGGACCGUUGUAAUGAUUAAUAGGGAUAGUUGGGGGCAUUGGUAUUCAAUUGUCAGAGGUGAAAUUCUUGGAUUUAUUGAAGACUAACUACUGUGAAAGCAUUUGCCAAGGAUGUUUUCAUUAAUCAAGAACGAAAGUUAGGGGAUCGAAGACGAUCAGAUACCGUCGUAGUCUUAACCAUAAACUAUGCCGACUAGGGAUCGGAUGAUGUUAAUUUUUAAUGACUCAUUCGGCGCCUUAC
RNAcentral lists this ribosomal RNA (520 nucleotides) under uncultured Paraglomus. Its description in RNAcentral is "SSU rRNA". It matches the Rfam family "Eukaryotic small subunit ribosomal RNA", at positions 569 to 1091 of the family's 1831-position model. The record is from RNAcentral. Lineage: Eukaryota; Fungi; Glomeromycota; Glomeromycetes; Paraglomerales; Paraglomeraceae.